GUGCAGGGAUCGCUUACCGUGGGACAGACUGCUGCAUGUCUCACUCGAUGCGACUUUGUUCGUGAGAACGCGUAGACUUGCGCACGGGUAGUUAAAGAGGGGCGAUUCGCAGUUCGUUCAGCCAAGACAAGCGAGCGCGACGGCAACAACAGUCCUAGCUAGCGGCGGGUAACACGUCUGGUCGCCCCGAGAUCGCUGAACAGCCCGGAUCCUUCAAAAACCUCAAUCUUCUGAGAAGUGCUCAUGGAACCUCGUUCCCAAGCUCUUCUGUCCUGCUGCUAGAAAACGUCGGUUCCCGUCACAACAAGAAGCAGUCACCGAGUAUGCAGCUGAGACUGCGUAGAGCUGCGCUUCCUGCCAGUCUACUCUCCCUUGGUCCAUUCCAGUCGAAAGCGUCUUUUCUGUUGUCAAAAGCCGCUCUGACGCUCACGGAUCUAGCGGUGCGUCAGUCACGUCCGUAACACUCGAGUUUUUCGACGACGCUUGCGAUACCUCCACCAGCCCUGAACUACCGUGUUGGGCCGCGUCUCUUGCACAGGAGGGAGCGCAGGGGCACGUUUCAGUGCGUGGACACGCUCGCGUUCAAGAAGGUAACGAAAACGUGUCCGAGAGAGCGUCGAUACAUACACAGAGAAGGCGAGUCUUAGUAACAGUGCCCAUCCAGUCCGUGUGCUUCUCAAGGAGGAAAACAGACGUAGAGCAUAGCAACCAGACCAUGACCGGGCAUCCAAGUGAAGCGGAUAGCGAAGAGGGUCUGGUAUCUCUUCGAGCAGCGACGUAUCGCUCGAGCAGCCUCAAGCAGAGCAGAGCAGAGCAGAGCAGAGGCUCGUUCAAGGUUUCUCUGUCACACGAAGGAAACAAGACGAAAUGCACAGGGACGAUGCACCGACGGACUGUCCGUCUGCACACAUACGCACACGCACACACACACAAAUACAGACUCCAUGAAACCGAGGCCAGCGUCAGCCGACGAGCAGCUUUUUGAACCUGUCAGGGUAGACGAUGAGACGGACAUUGCGGCGGACCCGGAUCCGCAGCUGGAAACCGUCAUCUCAGAUGCAGUAUCUCUACAUCGAGGGGAUGUAUCCGGAGAUCCUCAGGGCGAGCAAAUGCAACUGCGCAGCUUGUGCAGGGAAGGGCAUGAACGGGAGCCCGACAUGGCGGGCGCCCAGCGGUCUACCAGCGAGUGCAAGGACAGCGUCGUGACCCAUGUUGACGCUCUGAGCGCUGAAUCCAGCGGUCUGAGGUAUUCUCUGAACGCCGCAUUCACGGAGCACAUGAGCGUCCAAAUGGCUCAUGCAGACAAUCUAUGGAGGCACUAGAUGGAGCCGCACCGGACUCGCCGAUGCUCCGGCUGCACGGAGGCAAGAAGCGCAGACUGGCCAACGGUUUCCAUGAAAUGGACAUGGACGUGGACACGCUCAAGGACUUGAUCAAGGACAUGGACUUGAACAUGAACAUGAACAUGAACCCGAUAGUGCAUGAUGCGUCGUGCUGUUCGGUGGCAGCGCACUGCCGCUCGAGGUGCUGGAACGCGCUCGGGCUGCAUUCCUGCUGCGUCUACGAGAGCGUGCAACGAGCGAAGGAAUCGAUUCUUUCCGAUGCUUAUCGAUGGAUGCAGGACAAUAUGCAGAAAUCAAGAGCACGGUUGCGCGCUGAUGCCGGUAGAGGAGAAGAGCGUGAAACAGAGCCGGACGCUCGAGAUGUUGCACGGUACGCUGAGAUAACGUCCGAUGCAGCGAGCAACGAGAGCGAGCGGCAUGCAGUUGUGUGCGUUUACCUGUCGAAGCGUGUGACGGCCCUUUAUGGAUCGAGAUAUGAGCGUCUGUCGAACAACGUUCGGAGAUGGCCUCUGCUAGCGAAACGCGCAUGAGCUCUGCAUCGAACGGACCCCGGAGCGGAUCGUUGCGUACAGGCCGUGGGCAUUGCCCUGAAUCGCUGACGACCUUUGAUAAACGAAUUCAAGGACAUUAGAGAGGCGGCAUCUGAUUCUCGCCUGGAGCAAUUCAGUAGUAUGGUAUGGUCAGGAAUACAACAAGUCUGCAACAUCGUAUUUAUGUAGUCGGAAUGGUAUCCCUGGGCGACUGCCAAUCGAGAAUGGUGUUGCAUUAUUCGAUAUUACUGAGUUUCUCGCAGAAUACACACGUGGCUGCCGAAUUUCAACUGGCGAAGCUGCGGUGCAUACUUGCGCGCUAUGGAGCCACAUGAGCUACACGGCUCCAAACGAGCCGAGACCUCAGCACAACGCCAUGAUGAGCAGGAAUGGCAACACCUUUGUCAGCGGUCCCGGAUUUGCUGCGCAUGCCCGCCCAACAAGCGGGGUUUUGCGCGUGACGUUUUCUGUGGGAACGAAUGCGUUUGCGUCCGGCGAGCAUGAAGCGCAAGCGAUGUUGCUCUGCAUCCACUUUGGCUGUCAUGGGCAUAAACUGAACAAGUCCCAGGUGCCAAGUUUGAAAGGUAUCGAAAGACGGAACGGAAAGCACCGCACAAGCGCAGACGAGCGACAUGCAAGCGUUGAAGAGAUGAUCGAGGAGCGCAUUCGCACGCUUCCAUGACGUUCACUCGUGGACGUGCGCGCGCUUUCGAGCACACCGUAGCCAGCAGCGCCUGCUUGCUUACGCAACCAACCGACUUGAAAUGCGUUACGUUCAAUCCCGGAAGCACGGAUGCAUACAAAUCUCGAUUACUCAGCAGUGGUGCAAUGCAGUGAAAUCAUGCGUCUCUCACGACAGCUUUGUUCCAGAAACGAUAUAGGGAGUACUGAUCGCCUCUGACAGGUCCUGCUGCCGACAUCGUCUUGUCCCAGACUAUCUUUGUUGAGAGGCUGUUGGUAUUCUAGCCAACCACACGGGAGUGCCACCGAAGCGCUACCAUCUCAAGCGUGAUGAGUGCUGUGCUCUGCGUAGAGCCUAUUUGUCAUCGAGUCAUCGUACGCAACUUGCAGCGUCUACGU
This is an RNA transcript of Cyanidioschyzon merolae strain 10D, 2953 nucleotides long. RefSeq lists it as hypothetical. The transcript has a single exon. NCBI's taxonomy places the organism in Eukaryota, Rhodophyta, Bangiophyceae, Cyanidiales, Cyanidiaceae. The record is from RefSeq and is a predicted model, not a curated record.